UACGGGGGGGGCAAGCGUUGUUCGGAAUUACUGGGCGUAAAGGGCUCGUAGGUGGCCAACUAAGUCAGACGUGAAAUCCCCAGGCUCAACUUGGGAACUGCGUCUGAUACUGGAUGGCUUGAAUUCGGGAGAGGGAUGCAGAAUUCCAGGUGUAGCGGCGAAAUGCGUAGAUAUCUGGAGGAACACCGGUGGCGAAGGCGGCAUCCUGGACCGAGAUUGACGCUGAGGCGCGAAAGCCAGGGGAGCAAACGGG
RNAcentral lists this ribosomal RNA (253 nucleotides) under uncultured bacterium. RNAcentral's name for it is "partial 16S ribosomal RNA". It matches the Rfam family "Bacterial small subunit ribosomal RNA", at positions 524 to 776 of the family's 1533-position model. The record is from RNAcentral.